UACGUAGGGGGCAAGCGUUGUCCGGAAUCAUUGGGCGUAAAGAGCGUGUAGGCGGCCAGACAAGUCCGUUGUGAAAACUAGAGGCUUAACCUCUAGACGUCGAUGGAAACUGUCUGGCUAGAGUCCGGAAGAGGAGAAUGGAAUUCCUGGUGUAGCGGUGAAAUGCGCAGAUAUCAGGAAGAACACCCGUGGCUAAGGCGGUUCUCUAGUACGGUACUGACGCUGAGACGCGAAAGCGUGGGGAGCGAACAGG
This 253-nucleotide ribosomal RNA is filed under the name uncultured bacterium. RNAcentral's name for it is "partial 16S ribosomal RNA". It matches the Rfam family "Bacterial small subunit ribosomal RNA", at positions 524 to 776 of the family's 1533-position model. The record is from RNAcentral.